UUGACAUUUGUUUCGGACAGACAAUUAAAGACUCGGAGCAUAAAGGCGGCGCCUCUCGACGCCGAAGCACGUCUCGUGUCCACAGUGGUUUGAGGGUAGAAGAUCAAGGAUGAUCAUUCGUUAAUGAUCCCUCCGCAGGUUCACCUACGGAGA
RNAcentral lists this unclassified non-coding RNA (153 nucleotides) under uncultured fungus. RNAcentral's name for it is "sequence contains ITS1". Lineage: Eukaryota; Fungi. The record is from RNAcentral.